GUUUACUUCCGGAAUUUUUUUAAAAGACUAGUAAGUGAGCUUUGCUAUGUGUACAGUUCUCAAUAUUGUUAGGUAGAUUUUAAGCAAUUUAAAGCGCGCCUUUAAAGUUUUGAGCAAAAAAAACCCAGAUCAAUGAACCUAUAUGUAAUGCAGAGGAGACUUCGAGAAGAUGGAUUUUCUCAUCUUUAAAAAUCGUCACCGGUCUCCGUCGGAUGUUGCCCCUGCUCCUGGUGCCAACGAAACUCGUUUGAGAAAAUGGAUAAUGCGUCAACAAAAUACUUCUGGCGAUGAAAAGGGACCAUCACUGGCAACGGAAAGGGACAAUCGCGACCGGCACCGAGACUCGUCAUCAACGUGGAUCAUCGAACUGUUGGUAUUAUUUCGUUUGUGUUAGUUAACCCGUUGGCUGCCACGCCUUUGUUCUCCCCUAGCUCCUUAGCACGGGCCGCGCUGUUCGGUCUCG
Daphnia pulex (common water flea) is the source of this 463-nucleotide long non-coding RNA. RefSeq lists it as uncharacterized. The record is from RefSeq and is a predicted model, not a curated record. The transcript is spliced from 3 exons. NCBI's taxonomy places the organism in Eukaryota, Metazoa, Arthropoda, Branchiopoda, Diplostraca, Daphniidae.